GUUUUAAUCUAAAUCUUUCAAUUCUGGAUUGAUUGUCUGAAUUUUGAAAAUUUGUUAAAUUUUAUCCAAUUUUAACAUUGAAAAUGGGGGCAGAGUGCACUUUGCUUAUGUGGAUUCACAUGUGGUAUUUUUUAUUAUUUAUGGGUAGGUCCCACAUAACAAAUAAGAUUAAAAAAUAUAGGAUAAAAUUGUAAAAUGAAAAAUUACAUAAACCCUAAAUUAAAAAACUCUCUACAAAUUAGUUCCAUCUUUGCUUUUUUUUUUUUUUUAUGUUCAU
This 277-nucleotide unclassified non-coding RNA is filed under the name Hevea brasiliensis (rubber tree). Lineage: Eukaryota; Viridiplantae; Streptophyta; Magnoliopsida; Malpighiales; Euphorbiaceae. The record is from RNAcentral.